This 77-nucleotide transfer RNA is filed under the name Chlorobiota bacterium. RNAcentral describes it as "Chlorobi bacterium (bioreactor metagenome) tRNA-Lys". It matches the Rfam family "tRNA". From Rfam's summary of the family: Transfer RNA (tRNA) molecules are approximately 80 nucleotides in length. Their secondary structure includes four short double-helical elements and three loops (D, anti-codon, and T loops). Lineage: Bacteria; Pseudomonadati; Chlorobiota. The record is from RNAcentral.
GCUUCCUUAGCUCAGCUGGCUAGAGCAACUGACUCUUAAUCAGUGGGUCCGGGGUUCGAGCCCCCGAGGGAGCACAA